Molecule: ribosomal RNA, 757 nt
Filed under: uncultured Azospira sp.
Lineage: Bacteria; Pseudomonadati; Pseudomonadota; Betaproteobacteria; Rhodocyclales; Rhodocyclaceae
Description: bacterial SSU rRNA
Rfam family: Bacterial small subunit ribosomal RNA
Source: RNAcentral
UACAGUUUGAUCAUGGCUCAGAUUGAACGCCGGCGGCAUGCCUUACACAUGCAAGUCGAACGGCAGCACGGGAGCUUGNNNNUGGUGGCGAGUGGCGAACGGGUGAGUAAUACAUCGGAACGUACCCAGGAGUGGGGGAUAACGUAGCGAAAGUUACGCUAAUACCGCAUAUUCUGUGAGCAGGAAAGCGGGGGAUCGCAAGACCUCGCGCUCUUGGAGCGGCCGAUGUCGGAUUAGCUAGUUGGUGAGGUAAAAGCUCACCAAGGCGACGAUCCGUAGCAGGUCUGAGAGGAUGAUCUGCCACACUGGGACUGAGACACGGCCCAGACUCCUACGGGAGGCAGCAGUGGGGAAUUUUGGACAAUGGGGGCAACCCUGAUCCAGCCAUGCCGCGUGAGUGAAGAAGGCCUUCGGGUUGUAAAGCUCUUUCGGCGGGGAAGAAAUGGCAACGGCUAAUAUCCGUUGUUGAUGACGGUACCCGCAUAAGAAGCACCGGCUAACUACGUGCCGGCAGCCGCGGUAAUACGUAGGGUGCGAGCGUUAAACGGAAUUACUGGGCGUAAAGCGUGCGCAGGCGGUUUCGUAAGACAGACGUGAAAUCCCCGGGCUCAACCUGGGAACUGCGUUUGUGACUGCGAGGCUAGAGUACGGCAGAGGGGGGUAGAAUUCCACGUGUAGCAGUGAAAUGCGUAGAGAUGUGGAGGAAUACCGAUGGCGAAGGCAGCCCCCUGGGUUAGUACUGACGCUCAUGCACGAA